Molecule: transfer RNA, 73 nt
Filed under: Caudoviricetes sp.
Lineage: Duplodnaviria; Heunggongvirae; Uroviricota; Caudoviricetes
Description: tRNA-OTHER
Rfam family: tRNA
About the family: Transfer RNA (tRNA) molecules are approximately 80 nucleotides in length.
Source: RNAcentral
GCAGACGUAGCUCAGUCGGUAGAGCACCGCGCCGGGAGGUACGUCGUUGGUUCAAGUCCAAUCGUCUGCACCA